Molecule: ribosomal RNA, 87 nt
Filed under: Candida albicans
Lineage: Eukaryota; Fungi; Ascomycota; Pichiomycetes; Serinales; Debaryomycetaceae
Description: partial 5.8S ribosomal RNA
Rfam family: 5.8S ribosomal RNA
About the family: 5.8S ribosomal RNA (5.8S rRNA) is a component of the large subunit of the eukaryotic ribosome. It is transcribed by RNA polymerase I as part of the 45S precursor that also contains 18S and 28S rRNA. Functionally, it is thought that 5.8S rRNA may be involved in ribosome translocation.
Source: RNAcentral
AUUGCAGAUAUUCGUGAUACAUCGAAUCUUUGAACGCACAUUGCGCCCUCUGGUAUUCCGGAGGGCAUGCCUGUUUGAGCGUCGUUU